Cyprinus carpio (common carp) is the source of this 877-nucleotide long non-coding RNA. Ensembl lists it as uncharacterized. NCBI's taxonomy places the organism in Eukaryota, Metazoa, Chordata, Actinopteri, Cypriniformes, Cyprinidae. The record is from Ensembl.
UCAAAUUACACAGCCGUACCAGCCUGCACCGGGAACGAGGGAGAGAUAGAAAUCUGAGAAAAACAGAGGACAGGACUGAGAAGGGGAUGAAGACAGUGAAACGAGAGGGAGGCUGAAACAGUUGAGGAAGUGAGUCGCCAAUGAGAAAGGACUUUGAUGGACAGAAAGAGACAACGCAGGCUGGCUUUUGAUGGAUGGAGACACGGGUAAACCCAUCCAUCUUCCCACCGGAGACGGCAAAGAAAGGAAAGGAGCUUAAGGAGCAGAGGAGAAGCGUGCUAGACUACUUUUCCGAGAGAUCUGUUUGUAUAAAUCCAAGAAAUCUCUGUCCUGUGGAGAUUGCAAGAGACAGGGAAAGAGGAUUGAGAGGAGCUCCGCUGUGGAAGCAGUACCGUUAAGGUCGGGUGGCACAUCACACAUGGAGGAACUGUUGGCCUGCUGUGUCCAUUUUCCAUAUCUGUGCUUGACGGAGGGGAAAACUGUGCUUGCUGGAAGUAAAUCCCAAGAAAUCCACAUUCAAUUACAUUAGUCUAAAGCACUCAUUUUCCAAAACAGCAUGCGCUAAAACCAUUACAAUUUGUCCCACCAGAAACAGCGUUCCUAAAGUCGAGAUCGCCAAAAAGCACAAAAGUUCAUACAAUUAUAUACAAUUUCUUUCUUUUCCAGUGCAAACUGUACCUCAAAUAAUGUACAGAAUAGUGCUUAUGGUUAACAUGUAGAAGUCAAUGACAAAUACAAGAGUUCACAAAAAAGAAAAUGACCUAGAAAUAUACUCUUUGUGUUCCUGUUGUUUUCAUACAUGCUUUUCAAGGACAGCUUAAAUGUAAUGGCUCUGAUGUCAGCUUCAAUAAAAAAGGGUAAUAACAUAUUUUCCUCA